This 496-nucleotide ribosomal RNA is filed under the name uncultured Brevibacterium sp. RNAcentral describes it as "partial 16S ribosomal RNA". The record is from RNAcentral. Lineage: Bacteria; Bacillati; Actinomycetota; Actinomycetes; Micrococcales; Brevibacteriaceae.
CACGUAGUUAGCCGGUACUUCUUCUGCAGGUACCGUCACCCAAAGGCUUCUUCCCUACUGAAAGAGGUUUACAACCCGAAGGCCGUCAUCCCCCACGCGGCGUCGCUGCAUCAGGGUUCCCCCCAUUGUGCAAUAUUCCCCACUGCUGCCUCCCGUAGGAGUCUGGGCCGUGUCCCAGUCCCAGUGUGGCCGGUCGCCCUCUCAGGCCGGCUACCCGUCGUCGUCUUGGUAGGCCAUUACCCCACCAACAAACUGAUAGGCCGCGAGCCCAUCCCCAACCGAAAACUUUCCACCACCCAACAUGCGAAAGAUGGUCAUAUCCGGUAUUAGACCCAGUUUCCCAGGCUUAUCCCGAAGUCAGGGGCAGGUUACUCACGUGAUACUCACCCGUUCGCCACUCAUCCACCCAGUGCAAGCACCAAGCUUCAGCGUUCGACUUGCAUGUGUUAAGCACGCCGCCAGCGUCGUCCUCGAGUCCACGGACGUCGAAACCUAC